CCUAUCGUAGGGGACGCAGCAGUAAGGAAUAUUGGUCAAUGGUGGCAACUCGACCCAACCAUGCCGCGUGGAAAUGAAGGUGGUGUGAAUCGUAAAAUUCUUUUAUGGGGAAGAAAAAUGGGAUUCUGAGGAUAUGACGUACCCAUAGAUAAAGCCCCCAUUUG
Molecule: ribosomal RNA, 164 nt
Filed under: uncultured bacterium
Lineage: Bacteria
Description: partial 16S ribosomal RNA
Source: RNAcentral